RNAcentral lists this ribosomal RNA (417 nucleotides) under uncultured bacterium. Its description in RNAcentral is "bacterial SSU rRNA". It matches the Rfam family "Bacterial small subunit ribosomal RNA", at positions 29 to 491 of the family's 1533-position model. The record is from RNAcentral.
AACGAACGCUGGCGGCAUGCCUAACACAUGCAAGUCGAACGAGACCUUCGGGUCUAGUGGCGCACGGGUGCGUAACGCGUGGGAAUCUACCCUUAGGUUCGGAAUAACUCAGGGAAACUUGAGCUAAUACCGGAUGAUGACUUCGGUCCAAAGAUUUAUCGCCUAAGGAUGAGCCCGCGUAGGAUUAGCUAGUUGGUGAGGUAAAGGCUCACCAAGGCUACGAUCCUUAGCNGGUCUGAGAGGAUGAUCAGCCACACUGGGACUGAGACACGGCCCAGACUCCUACGGGAGGCAGCAGUGGGGAAUAUUGGACAAUGGGCGAAAGCCUGAUCCAGCAAUGCCGCGUGAGUGAUGAAGGCCUUAGGGUUGUAAAGCUCCUUUACCCGGGAUGAUAAUGACAGUACCGGGAGAAUAAGC